GCGAGCGAGAGAGAGAGAGAGACAGAGAGAGAGAGAGAGAGAGAGAGAAUUCUAAUCAGGGCUCCGCACUGGCAGGGCUUGAAUUGAUGAACUGUGAGCCAAAACCAAGAGUUGGAGGCUUAACCUACUGAGCCACCCAGGUGCUCCCCGCCCCCACUGCCUUGUUUUUUAAAGUUUUUACAAUUUAUUUAGAUAAUCAGGAGAGAUUUAAUGGAAUAAGUAAAAUUAAUCAGAGAUUCAAGGAAGGUGAACUCUCAAUAGGGUGAAAAGUGGGGGGCAGGGGAGUAGGCAGAGCACUGGUGAGAAAGUAUUUCUUUACUCCAAGUACAAGAGAAGCUGUCAGGCUUGGGGGUAGAGGUGGUGGCAUUGGGAGACAAACACACAGGCUUGAUUAAAGUGAGGGAUAGAGGUUUGGCAACAAAAGGAAGCAAAGCCUGGGAAUUUGAAAAAAGUUAAGGUGUUUAGACUCUAUUUUGAGGCCCAUCCACUGUGAGGAGCUUGGUUUUCUGUAUAAGGAUUCAGGCAACAUAGAUUCAGUCCCAGGUCCGUUACAUCCAAACAACAUGUUACUUAGUGAUUUAACUUUUCUGAGCCUCAGUUUCCCUUCUAUACAAUGGAGAUUUUAUCUACCAAGCAGAGUUGUGAAGGCUGCACAAAAUAACAUUUUCAUUGUCACAUUAGCUGUCACUUCCUCUCUAGUAAAUGGGCGGGGCAGGGAGGCUUGUGAAGAGGAAAAUGACAUUAUUAAAGGGAUGGAUGUGAUAUUAUGGGAAUGCCAAUUUUGUGAGGGUGUGCAGGAUGAACUGAGGAAGGGGAGUGUGUGUGUGUGUGUGUGUGUGUGUGUGUGUGUGUGUGUGUGUUAGAGGUGGGGGGAACCAGGAACAUGAGCUUGUUAGACCACAUAGAAAGACACAGGGCCCUGAACUAGCCAUACUGGCUAUGGCCACAUCAGUGGAAAUGAUGAAGUGAAUAUCAGGAGGAGGAAUGAAGCAUUUGGUGAAGAUAGAGCCACAUAUAAAAAAUGAAAUCCAGAAGAAAAAUUUCUUGAUUUCAGGAUGAAAAAAGCAGCAUACUAGUAAAAGAAAGUACUGAGGAAAAUUGUCUAAUGGACACUUGAUUUUUUUUGUUUCUGUUUUAUUUUGUUUUGUUUGCUUAGUGUCCUAACCCACUGUUUCAGGUUAGCUGCCCUAUUCUCUCUGGAUAGAUUCUUUUUCUGGCAAAUCAGAGUCCUUCAUUUUCUUGGCACAAAGACUGGCCUGGAGAAGCUAAAAGGAUAGCAGUCUGGAGAAAGCUGAGGGUAGACAAAUAAGAAGCCAAUUGGAGACCAGAGGAAAUGAGGGAAGCAGAAGAACAGACUUACAGAAGGAAUGAUCUGAGGUGAAUGUAUAGGGUUACAGUGUGCUUUUCGGCACAGACCCUUGUGCCUGAUGCUGCCCUGGAGGUAUCUGAAACCAACUGGAGGCAGAUGGUCCUGCUGACGACGGGUCAGAAGGUCAGUGGUUACCUACCUCUACGUCACAAUCCUGCAUCCUUCACCUGACUUCUCAUCACAGAGGCAUUUUCUCAUCUCACAUCAUCACAAGUAGGGGCUCAUGAAAGAUACAAGCUCAAGACAAAAGAGAACAAGAAAACCUUGGAACCAGAUUUCUGGUCACAAUAAAGAAAUUACUUUGAGGCAGUCUGGGACUAUAAUUUUUAAUUCUAAUUUAAUAUAUUCCUAUUUAUUUCUGACUGUUUCACAAAUUGGAGUUCAUAACAUAGAAACUCUUCUGGUAUUUUAAUCUAUUUUCCUGCUCUCAAGAUAUUUUUAUCUGCUUUCAUAAUCUCUUAUGAUUAUGAUAAGAAUUUUUGUCAACCUUUGAUCAUCUUGAUAUAUAAGGCAUUUUCUUUAAAGGCCUUAAACAUAGGUUACAUUUCAUUUAUCCUCCCAUAGAAUUUAGCAUUCUUUCUAUUGUAAGUGACAUUUUGUACUUCCUUGGCUUAUUCAAAAAUAAAAGAAUUUAUUGGCUCAUCUAAGUUGAGAGUGUAGGCUAGAUCAAGCUUCAGGCACAGCUGGAAUUGGAGCCAAAAACAUGUCAUAAAUAUUUGGUUUCUCACAAUCUUUCUUUUCUGCCUCUAGUCCUAUACCGGUAGCAAAAUGGCAGUAACAGCUUCAGGCUCUGUAUCUCCUCAAGUUUCAAGAUCGUGGAAAAGAGUGAUACUCUCUUUCCUAGAAGUAUCAACAAAUGGAUCUCAUUAACACUCUGUGGUUACAUGCCCACCUCUAAACCAGUUACCAUGGCUAUAGUUUACUUAAACCUGGUGGGGAGGCAUGGUAGUUACCCCUGACCUCAAGGGUAUAACCUGUUCCACCGAAGUUUAUGGACUAAUAGUGUAGGUGAAUUGGUAUUGAUCUUCCAGAAGUCCACUCCCUGAAUUCUUAGGAGCAUCAACCUUGUUGAGUACAUCCUCUUUUAAUACUAUUUUCUUGUCUUUUUUGAUGCUGUAGGAUCUUGGUGCCUUUUUUAUCUGGUCAUUGAAUGUUCAGGUCUCUCAGUGCUACGUCCUAGACACUCUUCUUGCUGGCCUCUAUUCAUUCAUACACAAGGAUUUAAUAACCACCUAAAAACCAAAGCUUUGAAAUUCUUCUGCAACACAGAGGAAACUCUGAAUUUCUAUCUCCAACUACCCACUGACCUUUCUGUUUGGUUCUCUCUCUUUUUUUUUUUUAAAUUUUUUAAAAUGUUUAUUUAUUUUUGAGAGAGACAGAGACAGAAUGCGAGUGGGUUAGGGGCAGAGAGAGAGGGAGACACAGAAUCUGAAGCAGGCUCCAGGCUCCAAGCUGUCAGCACAGAGCCCGAUGUGGGGCUUGAACACUCAAGCUGUGAGAUCAUGACCUGAGCUGAAGUUGGACACUCAACCAACUGAGCCACCGAAGUGCCCCUGUUUGGUUCUCUUAAAGUCACUUCAAACUCAACAUGUUCAAAACCACAUCCCUUUUCCCCCAAACAAACCUGGUCUGAGCUGUGUUUUUUUGUUGUGGUGAACUGAACCACUAUUUAUCCAGUUCAGCAUGUUAGAAACCUUUGU
Molecule: long non-coding RNA, 3069 nt
Organism: Acinonyx jubatus (cheetah)
Lineage: Eukaryota; Metazoa; Chordata; Mammalia; Carnivora; Felidae
Exons: 5
Source: RefSeq, a predicted model, not a curated record